Molecule: ribosomal RNA, 119 nt
Filed under: Pteropus alecto (black flying fox)
Lineage: Eukaryota; Metazoa; Chordata; Mammalia; Chiroptera; Pteropodidae
Also listed under: 1 other name
Source: RNAcentral
GUCUAUGGCCAUGCUACCCUGAACAAGCCCAAUCCCGUCUGAUCUUGGAAGCUAAGCAGGCUCGGACCUGGUUAGUACUUGGAUGGGAGACCACCUAGGAACACCAGAUGCUGUAGGCA